This 496-nucleotide ribosomal RNA is filed under the name uncultured bacterium. RNAcentral describes it as "partial 16S ribosomal RNA". It matches the Rfam family "Bacterial small subunit ribosomal RNA", at positions 28 to 507 of the family's 1533-position model. The record is from RNAcentral.
GAUGAACGCUGGCGGCGUGCCUAAUACAUGCAAGUCGAGCGAACGGACGAGAAGCUUGCUUCUCUGAUGUUAGCGGCGGACGGGUGAGUAACUGUGGAUAACCUACCUAUAAGACUGGGAUAACUUCGGGAAACCGGGGCUAAUACCGGAUAAUAUUUUGAACCGCAUGGUUCAAAAGUGAAAGACGGUCUUGCUGUCACUUAUAGAUGGAUCCGCGCUGCAUUAGCUAGUUGGUAAGGUAACGGCUUACCAAGGCAACGAUGCAUAGCCGACCUGAGAGGGUGAUCGGCCACACUGGAACUGAGACACGGUCCAGACUCCUACGGGAGGCAGCAGUAGGGAAUCUUCCGCAAUGGGCGAAAGCCUGACGGAGCAACGCCGCGUGAGUGAUGAAGGUCUUCGGAUCGUAAAACUCUGUUAUUAGGGAAGAACAUAUGUGUAAGUAACUGUGCACAUCUUGACGGUACCUAAUCAGAAAGCCACGGCUAACUACGUG